This 486-nucleotide ribosomal RNA is filed under the name uncultured bacterium. RNAcentral describes it as "partial 16S ribosomal RNA". It matches the Rfam family "Bacterial small subunit ribosomal RNA", at positions 28 to 523 of the family's 1533-position model. The record is from RNAcentral.
GAUGAACGCUGGCGGCGUGCUUAACACAUGCAAGUCGAACGGAAAGGCCUCAGCUUGCUGGGGUACUCGAGUGGCGAACGGGUGAGUAACACGUGGGUGAUCUGCCCUGCACUUUGGGAUAAGCUUGGGAAACUGGGUCUAAUACCGAAUAUGACCACUUCUUGGAUGUUGUGGUGGAAAGCUUUUGCGGUGUGGGAUGAGCCUGCUGACUAUCAGCUUGUUGGUGGGGUAAUGGCCUACCAAGGCGGCGACGGGUAUCCGGCCUGAGAGGGUGUACGGACACAUUGGGACUGAGAUACGGCCCAGACUCCUACGGGAGGCAGCAGUGGGGAAUAUUGCACAAUGGGCGCAAGCCUGAUGCAGCGACGCCGCGUGGGGGAUGAAGGCCUUCGGGUUGUAAACUCCUUUCGCUAUCGACGAAGCCACUUGUGGUGACGGUAGGUAGAUAAGAAGCACCGGCUAACUACGUGCCAGCAGCCGCCGUAA